GUUACUAUACUUUAUAACUAGAAGGCUUGGUUUGCAACUAAGUAGAGGAGAAACUCCUAGUACCA
This 65-nucleotide transfer RNA is filed under the name Tritoniopsis elegans. RNAcentral describes it as "tRNA-Ala". The record is from RNAcentral. Lineage: Eukaryota; Metazoa; Mollusca; Gastropoda; Nudibranchia; Tritoniidae.